Long non-coding RNA from Lotus japonicus, 968 nucleotides. RefSeq lists it as uncharacterized. The record is from RefSeq and is a predicted model, not a curated record. The transcript has 3 exons. Lineage: Eukaryota; Viridiplantae; Streptophyta; Magnoliopsida; Fabales; Fabaceae.
ACUCUCAUUAUUUAUUUUCUCCUCUUCUUCAUUGCAGCCACCAGCACCGUGUUCCACCACGCCAACUACGUCAUUCGGCUCAUCAUUCCCAUUUGUAAAGCUGGCAUGCUCGACCGCCCUCGCCCUGUUCGACCAAAUGUCUUAUCACUAGGUCCCUCAAUGCACAGCCAAGUCACUUACCACUUCCCUCACCGCCAUUAGGUUCUUGCCUGAAGUUGUUUUGCUCUGGAACAUUUAUAUUAUGAGUGAGUAGAGCUAGAUAAUUGAAUGGUCUGCGAGUGUUCGCAUGGCAUGGGUGAGUUUCGUCCAUGCGAGCGAAGAUGGAAGGGAGAUCGGUCCGCGAACGAGCGCUUCCACAAUGUCUCCAUCUCAAUUCAGAACGGGUUCGCGAAUGAGGAUGCUAUCUUAAUCGUUUAGAACCAAUGGUUAAAAAAACAAAGAACUUUUCAUGAUUGGCAUAUAUUAUGACAGGUUGGUAAUGUGGUUAUGACAUUGGACAAUAUGAUUGUUGUUUAAGUGCAUGUUUAGAAAGUGGUUGAAUUCAUCAAAAAAUAAAAUUUUAUUCUGUUUUUCAUACUUUUCCCAUUCUCUAUGGAUUUUCUUUUUACAGUUUUUGCUCUGGAAGGGAUUUAGGGAUGGUAGUCAAGUUCCUUAGUUGGUGAAGAAACUAUGGUAUCUCCAAGUUUAAAGUUGAUUUGAUAGUAGAUUGAACUCUUUCCAGCUUGAGCAUACCUCAGGUAUACAUCCACAAACAUCACUUCUAAAGUUCUAUUUUCAGACAAUGCAACCGAUUUGAAACAUUACAUGGGUUCCCGUCAGCUAUUUUCCUUCACUUUCCUAAUUUGCGUAUGAUGUUGCAGAGUUUAGGAUAUGACAAUUUAGCAUAUGACUAGGUCCUCCUUCAUUCUAAUGAGAGUAAUGAUUAGUAGCACAUACCGCAUUGGCACUUCAAAUAUAGACCUUUUGAA